CCUACGGGAGGCAGCAGUAAGGAAUAUUGGUCAAUGGACGCAAGUCUGAACCAGCCAUGCCGCGUGGAGGAUGAAGGUCCUCUGGAUUGUAAACUUCUUUUCUCUGGGACGAAACCCCCGAUUUCCAUCGGGCCUGACGGUACCAGAGGAAUAAGCACCGGCUAACUCCGUGCCAGCAGCCGCGGUAAUACGGAGGGUGCAAGCGUUAUCCGGAUUCACUGGGUUUAAAGGGUGCGUAGGCGGGUUUGUAAGUCAGUGGUGAAAUCCCCGAGCUUAACUUGGGAACUGCCAUUGAUACUGCAAGUCUUGAAUUUUCUGGAGGUAAGCGGAAUAUGUCAUGUAGCGGUGAAAUGCUUAGAUAUGACAUAGAACACCCAUUGCGAAGGCAGCUUACUACGGGAAUAUUGACGCUGAGGCACGAAAGCGUGGGGAUCAAACAGGAUUAGAUACCCUGGUAGUCCACGCCCUAAACGAUGAUCACUCGACAUUAGCGAUAUUACGGUUAGUGUCUAAGCGAAAGCAUUAAGUAAUCCACCUGGGAAGUACGACCGCAAGGUUGAAACUCAAAUGAAUUGACGG
Molecule: ribosomal RNA, 579 nt
Filed under: uncultured bacterium
Lineage: Bacteria
Description: bacterial SSU rRNA
Rfam family: Bacterial small subunit ribosomal RNA
Source: RNAcentral